GGGGGGCCUGGAACUCACACAGCCAGUCUCUAACGGUUAAAACUUCCUGAGGAGAACAGUUAGGAAAAGGAUGUCUGAAGAGGCUCCGCAGGAGGCAGCUGUGAAAAGGUGGGAAGCCAGCGGUUACAGUAACUACUCAAACUACUGAUUUUUCCACUGUGCACUCAGUCUCAGGCUUCCAGACCUUCGCUCAUGCUGUUCCUUCUGCCUAGAAUGCUUUUCCCUACACUCCUCCCUGAAUAACCCCUACUGGUGUUUUGAGACCUGCCUCAGGCCCCUGCCACCUGCAGGACUGCUUCUCCGGGCUGCCGGGUCCGGGGAGCGCCCCUUCCGCGGCGUGUCACAGCCCUGUGCGUUCACUGGAGCCGUGUGUCCACACCCACUCUGCAUGUGAUUGUUGGACGCCGACCACGCCAGGCACACGGCCGGGUGCUGCGGUGCGUGGAGGGAAAAUAAAACAAAACAACUGUAACAGCGAAGACGCACUCUCGGCCCUGACGAAGCUCGUAAGCUUCAGCGUGUAGGACAGAAGGACAGAUCCAACAAGUACGCAGAAAGAUACACACAUGCCUUGCUUUCCAGAUGCUCACUGUCUAGAUUCGGUAACUCCUGGAUCUGGAGAAUGUCUUAAAUAAACCUCGUGCUACCUGUA
Molecule: long non-coding RNA, 652 nt
Organism: Suricata suricatta (meerkat)
Lineage: Eukaryota; Metazoa; Chordata; Mammalia; Carnivora; Herpestidae
Exons: 2
Source: RefSeq, a predicted model, not a curated record